RNAcentral lists this ribosomal RNA (501 nucleotides) under uncultured bacterium. RNAcentral's name for it is "partial 16S ribosomal RNA". It matches the Rfam family "Bacterial small subunit ribosomal RNA", at positions 28 to 523 of the family's 1533-position model. The record is from RNAcentral.
GAUGAACGCUAGCGGCAGGCUUAAUACAUGCCAGUCGAGGGGCAGCGCAGUGUAGCAAUACAUGGGCGGCGACCGGCAAACGGGUGCGGAACACGUACGCAACCUGCCUUUAAGUGGCGGAUAGCCCAGGGAAACUUGGAUCAAUCCCACGUAUAUUAUGAAGUGGCACCCCUUUAUCCUUAUUGCUCCGGCGCUUAAAGAUGGGCGUGCGACUGAUCAGGUAUUUGGCGGGGUAACGGCCCACCAAGCCUGCGAUCAGUAACUGGUGUGAGAGCACGACCAGUCACGCGGGCGCUGAGACACGGGCCCGUCUCCUACGGGAGGCAGCAGUAAGGAAUAUUGGUCAAUGGACGCAAGUCUGAACCAGCCAUGCCGCGUGGAGGAUGAAGGUCCUCUGGAUUGUAAACUUCUUUUAAUUGGGAAGAAACCCACUGUUUCUACGGUGGUUGACGGUACCAGAUGAAUAAGCACCGGCUAACUCCGUGCCAGCAGCCGCCGUAA